This 444-nucleotide ribosomal RNA is filed under the name uncultured bacterium. RNAcentral's name for it is "bacterial SSU rRNA". It matches the Rfam family "Bacterial small subunit ribosomal RNA", at positions 355 to 796 of the family's 1533-position model. The record is from RNAcentral.
UAAGGAAUAUUGGUCAAUGGACGCAAGUCUGAACCAGCCAUGCCGCGUGAAGGAUGAAGGUCCUCUGGAUUGUAAACUUCUUUUACCUGGGAAGAACUCCAUGGUUUCUACUAUGGUUGACGGUACCAGAUGAAUAAGCACCGGCUAACUCCGUGCCAGCAGCCGCGGUAAUACGGAGGGUGCAAGCGUUAUCCGGAUUCACUGGGUUUAAAGGGUGCGUAGGCGGACAGGUAAGUCAGUGGUGAAAUCUCCGGGCUUAACUCGGAAACUGCCGUUGAUACUAUUUGUCUUGAAUAUCGUGGAGGUGAGCGGAAUAUGUCAUGUAGCGGUGAAAUGCUUAGAUAUGACAUAGAACACCAAUUGCGAAGGCAGCUUGCUACACGAUUAUUGACGCUGAGGCACGAAAGCGUGGGGAUCAAACAGGAUUAGAUACCCCGGUAGUCC